UUAUAGCAUUUGAUGCAGCAAGUCCACGUACUCUUGAUGGUAAUUCUUGGCCUGUUGUGCUCAUUGUUUUUAAGAUUACUUGCAUUUGGUGUGUUGGCCCCCCCCCAGACUGUAUGUUGACGUUAGUAUUUUAACCUAAUAACCAAUCCUGACACAGGGUCUGCAGGCAUUAGUAUGAUUUAAUACCCAAUUCCUGACACAGGGAGGUAGUGACAAGAAAUAACAAUACAGGGCUAAUGUCUUGUAAUUGGAAUGAUGGUGACCCAAACCCUCACCAGAGUAGCAAUUGGAGGGCAAGUCUGGUGCCAGCAGCCGCGGUAAUUCCAGCUCCAAUAGCGUAUAUUAAACUUGUUGCAGUUAAAAAGCUCGUAGUUGAAUUUUAGCGUGUUCGAGUUUGCCAUUCGUUUGGCUUUUUCGAGUUCGCUUUUGGGUUUUCCCUUUUUACUUUGAGAAAAUUAGAGUGUUUCAAGCAGACUUUUGUCUUGAAUACUUCAGCAUGGAAUAAUAGAGUAGGACUUUGGUUCUAUUUUGUUGGUUAUUGAACCUUAGUAAUGGUUAAUAGGAACGGUUGGGGGCAUUCGUAU
This 584-nucleotide ribosomal RNA is filed under the name Babesia vogeli. Its description in RNAcentral is "bacterial SSU rRNA". The stretch from base 103 to 584 matches the Rfam family "Eukaryotic small subunit ribosomal RNA", at positions 1 to 897 of the family's 1831-position model. The record is from RNAcentral. Lineage: Eukaryota; Apicomplexa; Aconoidasida; Piroplasmida; Babesiidae.